RNAcentral lists this long non-coding RNA (898 nucleotides) under Monodelphis domestica (gray short-tailed opossum). RNAcentral describes it as "lncRNA (ENSMODG00000047152.1)". The record is from RNAcentral. Lineage: Eukaryota; Metazoa; Chordata; Mammalia; Didelphimorphia; Didelphidae.
ACUCAAACUUGGGUCUCCUGAUUUCCAACGUAGGCUUAUUUCCAUUCUAUUGUGCUCCUUUUCUAGCUUUGAUGGGAAGCAUCCCUGGUGGGAAAAGCACUGACUAUGAGUUCAAGUCCUGCCUCUGGCUCUUGCUGACUUUGUGACCUGAAGCAAGUCACAACCUAUCUGUGCCUCACUUUCCUCAUCUGUAAAAUCAAGAGAUUGAACUAGACGGCCUCUGAGGGCCCCUUGAACUCUAAAUCUCUGUGCCAUGAAGCUUGUGUGCAGCUACUAUCCCAGCCAUUCAACAAUCCCAGUAAGUACGAGCUUACUUACUAUUCAGCAUCAGUAUAGUCUCUCUUUUGCCCUUCAGCUUUCAUCUGGUGAAUGUCUUUCAGCAAUCUCCAGGCUUGUCAGCACCACUAUUAGAUGGUGGUCAGGACCAGGGCAAGCUGAAGGGGAAGGCUCAAAUCAAUCAGUUUUGCUAGGAAUGAAUUGUUUUGGUAAAAAGAUACAGAGAGGAAGUUUGAAAUUUGUGCCUGAAAAGACCUGUUUCCCCUCAUUAGCACAGAUAAUUAUGGCCUCUAAUCAUCAGCAUCCACUUUUUCUUGCUGACUUCCUGGGUGGUCUACAGUUUACCCCCAAAGCCUACCCCACCAUUACAGCUUCCCUUUUCCCAGAGGAAGAAGAGGAUGAAGAGGAUGAAAAGAACCACGAGUCUCCCUGGAGAGACUGCAAUCGCAAACAAGUUUCUCCCAGAAGCACUGUGCUUACAGAAAAUUGCCUGGGGCACUGAAAAGUUAAGUGACUUGUCCAGGGUCUCACAACCAGGAUGCCAGCUCUCUUCCCACGGUAUGAUGUUUCCUCUCCUUUGUCCCUUCUGCUCUAAGAAUCACUAUGGUUUGGUUUGGGUCCC